AACGAACGCUGGCGGCAUGCCUAACACAUGCAAGUCGAACGAGACCUUCGGGUCUAGUGGCGAACGGGUGCGUAACGCGUGGGAACCUGCCCUUAGGUUCGGAAUAACUCCCCGAAAGGGGUGCUAAUACCGGAUAAUGUCUUCGGACCAAAGAUUUAUCGCCUUUGGAUGGGCCCGCGUUGGAUUAGCCAGUUGGUAGGGUAAAAGCCUACCAAGGCGACGAUCCAUAGCUGGUCUGAGAGGAUGAUCAGCCACACUGGGACUGAGACACGGCCCAGACUCCUACGGGAGGCAGCAGUGGGGAAUAUUGGACAAUGGGCGAAAGCCUGAUCCAGCAAUGCCGCGUGAGUGAUGAAGGCCUUAGGGUUGUAAAGCUCUUUUACCCGGGAUGAUAAUGACAGUACCGGGAGAAUAAGCUCCGGCUAACUCCGUG
This 433-nucleotide ribosomal RNA is filed under the name uncultured bacterium. Its description in RNAcentral is "partial 16S ribosomal RNA". It matches the Rfam family "Bacterial small subunit ribosomal RNA", at positions 29 to 507 of the family's 1533-position model. The record is from RNAcentral.